This 81-nucleotide small nucleolar RNA is filed under the name Oryza sativa Japonica Group (Japanese rice). Its description in RNAcentral is "Plant small nucleolar RNA R71". The record is from RNAcentral. Lineage: Eukaryota; Viridiplantae; Streptophyta; Magnoliopsida; Poales; Poaceae.
AUCGCUUCAUGAGGAGGUCCAUGCUUCCGGAAUAGACUCAUCCCUCGUCUGCUGGAAACUUGAAAUCCUUCCACGAAGGGU